RNAcentral lists this ribosomal RNA (912 nucleotides) under human gut metagenome. Its description in RNAcentral is "bacterial SSU rRNA". It matches the Rfam family "Bacterial small subunit ribosomal RNA", at positions 8 to 955 of the family's 1533-position model. The record is from RNAcentral.
AGAGUUUGAUCCUGGCUCAGAACGAACGCUGGCGGCAGGCUUAACACAUGCAAGUUGAACGGGAUUUGUAUGGUGCUUGCACCAUGUAAUGAGAGUAGCGCACUGGUGAGUAACACGUGGGAACAUACCUUGAAGUGGGGGACAACAGUUGGAAACGACUGCUAAUACCGCAUACGCCCUGAGGGGGAAAGAUUUAUUGCUAAGAGGUCGGCCCGCGGUAGAUUAGGCAGUUGGUGGGGUAAAGGCCUACCAAACCUACGAUCUAUAGCUGGUCUGAGAGGACGAUCAGCCACAUUGGAACUGAGACACGGUCCAGACUCCUACGGGAGGCAGCAGUGAGGAAUAUUGGGCAAUGGAGGAAACUCUGACCCAGCCAUGCCGCGUGAGUGAAGAAGGUUUUCGAAUUGUAAAGCUCUUUCGGAUGGGACGAUGAUGACGGUACCAUCUAAAGAAGCCCCGGCAAACUUCGUGCCAGCAGCCGCGGUAAUACGAAGGGGGCAAGCGUUGUUCGGAAUUACUGGGCGUAAAGGGUGUGUAGGCGGAUUUGUAAGAUAGUGGUGAAAUACCUGAGCUCAACUUAGGAAUUGCCAUUAUAACUAUAGAUCUGGAGUGACAGAGAGGAUAUUGGAAUACCCAGUGUAGAGGUGAAAUUCGUAGAUAUUGGGUAGAACACCAGUGGCGAAGGCGAGUAUCUGGCUGUCAACUGACGCUGAGGCACGAAAGCAUGGGGAUCAAACAGGAUUAGAUACCCUGGUAGUCCAUGCUGUAAACGAUGAAUGCUAGUUGUCGGCAAAAGCCGGUGACGCAGUUAACGCGAUAAGCAUUCCGCCUGGGGAGUACGGUCGCAAGAUUAAAACUCAAAGGAAUUGACGGGGACCCGCACAAGCGGUGGAGCAUGUGGUUUAAUUCGAU